Molecule: ribosomal RNA, 1189 nt
Filed under: uncultured bacterium
Lineage: Bacteria
Description: bacterial SSU rRNA
Rfam family: Bacterial small subunit ribosomal RNA
Source: RNAcentral
GCAAGAGUAAAGCAGCAAUGCGCUUGGGGAUGAGCUCGCGGCCUAUUAGUUAGUUGGCGGGGUAACGGCCCACCAAGGCGAUGACGGGUAGCCGGUCUGAGAGGAUGUCCGGCCACACUGGAACUGAGACACGGUCCAGACACCUACGGGUGGCAGCAGUCGAGAAUCAUUCACAAUGGGGGAAACCCUGAUGGUGCGACGCCGCGUGGGGGAGGAAGGUCUUCGGAUUGUAAACCCCUGUCAUGUGGGAGCAAGGCGCAAGCUUGAUAGUACCACAAGAGGAAGAGACGGCAAACUCUGUGCCAGCAGCCGCGGUAAUACAGAGGUCUCAAGCGUUGUUCGGAAUCACUGGGCGUAAAGGGUACGUAGGCGGCAACAUAAGUCGUGCGUGAAAGGCAGGGGCUCAACCUCUGGAGUGCGCAUGAUACUGUGGGGCUAGAGUAAUGGAGGGGGAACCGGAAUUCUUGGUGUAGCAGUGAAAUGCGUAGAUAUCAAGAAGAAGACUCGUGGCGAAGGCGGGUUCCUGGACAUUUACUGACGCUGAGGUACGAAGGCUAGGGUAGCGAAAGGGAUUAGAUACCCCUGUAGUCCUAGCAGUAAACGGUGCACGUUUGGGGGUGCGGGGAAACGACCCCCUGGCGUGCCCGGAGCAAACGCGUUAAACCUGCCCCCCUGGGGGAGUACGGUCGCAAGAUUAAAACUCAAAGGAAUUGACGGGGGGCCCGCACAAGCAGCGGAGCGUGUGGUUUAAUUCGAUGAUACACGAAGAACCUUACCAGGGUUUGACAUACAAGUGGUAGGUGAAGGGAAACCGGAACGACCCCUCGGGGAGCUUGAACAGGUGCUGCAUGGCUGUCGUCAGCUCGUGUCGUGAGAUGUUCGGUUAAGUCCGCUAACGAGCGCAACCCUUGUCGUGUGUUACACGUAUCACGCGAGACCGCCGCGUAGAAAGCCGGAGGACGGUGGGGAUGACGUCAAGUCAGCAUGGCCUUUAUAUCCUGGGCUACACACACGCUACAAUGGCCAUCAACAGAGGGUCGCAAUCCCGCGAGGUGGAGCCAAUCCCUAAAAAUGGUCUCAGUUCGGAUCGCAGGCUGCAACCCGCCUGCGUGAAGCUGGAAUUGCUAGUAAUCGCGGAUCAGCAUGCCGCGGUGAAUACGUUCCCGGGCCUUGCACACACCGCCCGUCA